RNAcentral lists this ribosomal RNA (496 nucleotides) under uncultured bacterium. RNAcentral describes it as "partial 16S ribosomal RNA". It matches the Rfam family "Bacterial small subunit ribosomal RNA", at positions 29 to 507 of the family's 1533-position model. The record is from RNAcentral.
AUGAACGCUGGCGGCGUGCCUAAUACAUGCAAGUCGAGCGAACAGACGAGGAGCUUGCUCCUCUGACGUUAGCGGCGGACGGGUGAGUAACACGUGGAUAACCUACCUAUAAGACUGGGAUAACUUCGGGAAACCGGAGCUAAUACCGGAUAAUAUAUUGAACCGCAUGGUUCAAUAGUGAAAGACGGUUUUGCUGUCACUUAUAGAUGGAUCCGCGCCGCAUUAGCUAGUUGGUAAGGUAACGGCUUACCAAGGCAACGAUGCGUAGCCGACCUGAGAGGGUGAUCGGCCACACUGGAACUGAGACACGGUCCAGAUUCCUACGGGAGGCAGCAGUAGGGAAUCUUCCGCAAUGGGCGAAAGCCUGACGGAGCAACGCCGCGUGAGUGAUGAAGGUCUUCGGAUCGUAAAACUCUGUUAUUAGGGAAGAACAAAUGUGUAAGUAACUAUGCACGUCUUGACGGUACCUAAUCAGAAAGCCACGGCUAACUACGUG